RNAcentral lists this ribosomal RNA (468 nucleotides) under uncultured bacterium. RNAcentral's name for it is "partial 16S ribosomal RNA". It matches the Rfam family "Bacterial small subunit ribosomal RNA", at positions 28 to 507 of the family's 1533-position model. The record is from RNAcentral.
GACGAACGCUGGCGGCGUGCUUAACACAUGCAAGUCGAACGGAAAGGCCCUGCUUUUGUGGGGUGCUCGAGUGGCGAACGGGUGAGUAACACGUGAGUAACCUGCCCUUGACUUGGGGAUAACUUCAGGAAACUGGGGCUAAUACCUGAUAGGAGCUCCUGCUGCAUGGUGGGGGUUGGAAAGUUUCGGCGGUUGGGGAUGGACUCGCGGCUUAUCAGCUUGUUGGUGGGGUAGUGGCUUACCAAGGCUUUGACGGGUAGCCGGCCUGAGAGGGUGACCGGCCACAUUGGGACUGAGAUACGGCCCAGACUCCUACGGGAGGCAGCAGUGGGGAAUAUUGCACAAUGGGCGGAAGCCUGAUGCAGCAACGCCGCGUGCGGGAUGACGGCCUUCGGGUUGUAAACCGCUUUCGCCUGUGACGAAGCGUGAGUGACGGUAAUGGGUAAAGAAGCACCGGCUAACUACGUG